CACGUAGGCACCAAGCGUUGUCCGGAUUUAUUGGGCGUAAAGCGCUCGUAGGCGGUUCGGUAAGUCAGGUGUGAAAACUUGGGGCUUAACCCCAAGCCUGCAUCUGAUACUGCCGUGACUAGAGUUCGGUAGGGGAGUGGGGAAUUCCUAGUGUAGCGGUGAAAUGCGCAGAUAUUAGGAGGAACACCGGUGGCGAAGGCGCCACUCUGGGCCGAUACUGACGCUGAGGAGCGAAAGCGUGGGUAGCAAACAGG
RNAcentral lists this ribosomal RNA (254 nucleotides) under uncultured bacterium. Its description in RNAcentral is "partial 16S ribosomal RNA". It matches the Rfam family "Bacterial small subunit ribosomal RNA", at positions 524 to 776 of the family's 1533-position model. The record is from RNAcentral.